GGCUCAGAAUGAACGUUGGCGGCGUGGAUUAGGCAUGCAAGUCGAGCGAGAAGUGUAGCAAUACACGGAAAGCGGCGAAAGGGAGAGUAAUGCGUAGGUACCUACCCCCGGGACCGGGAUAGCGGCGGGAAACUGCCAUUAAUACCGGAUAAUGUCCCCGGACCAAAGGUGUGAUUCCUCCUGGGGAGGGGCCUGCGUCCUAUCAGCUAGUUGGCAGGGUAAUGGCCUACCAAGGCAUUGACGGGUAGCGGGUGUGAGAGCACGACCCGCCUCACUGGGACUGAGACACUGCCCAGACACCUACGGGUGGCUGCAGUCGAGAAUCUUCCGCAAUGGGCGAAAGCCUGACGGAGCGACGCCGCGUGCGGGAUGAAGGCCUUCGGGUUGUAAACCGCUGUCAGUGGGGAGGAAAUGCAUGGGGGUUCUCCCCUGUGUUUGACCGAUCCGCAGAGGAAGCACAGGCUAAGUUCGUGCCAGCAGCCGCGGUAACACGAACUGUGCAAACGUUAUUCGGAAUUACUGGGCUUAAAGAGUUCGUAGGCGGCCUGUUAAGUCGGGUGUGAAAUCCCUCGUCUCAACCGAGGAAUUGCACUCGAAACUGGCGGGCUUGAGUGAGAUAGAGGUGAGCGGAACUGAUGGUGGAGCGGUGAAAUGCGUUGAUAUCAUCAGGAACACCGGUUGCGAAGGCGGCUCACUGGGUCUUGACUGACGCUGAGGAACGAAAGCUAGGGGAGCGAACGGGAUUAGAUACCCCGGUAGUCCUAGCUGUAAACGAUGAGCACUGGACUGAGCGGACCUCCACAUCCGCCCGGUCGUAGCGAAAGCGUUAAGUGCUCCGCCUGGGGAGUAUGGUCGCAAGG
Molecule: ribosomal RNA, 860 nt
Filed under: uncultured bacterium
Lineage: Bacteria
Description: bacterial SSU rRNA
Rfam family: Bacterial small subunit ribosomal RNA
Source: RNAcentral